Long non-coding RNA from Bos grunniens (domestic yak), 1590 nucleotides. The record is from Ensembl. NCBI's taxonomy places the organism in Eukaryota, Metazoa, Chordata, Mammalia, Artiodactyla, Bovidae.
UUGAGUUUUAAGCCAACUUUUUCACUCUCCUCUUUCACUUUCUUCAAGAAGUUCUUUAGUUCUUCUUCACUUUCUGCCAUAAGGGUGGUGUCAUCUGCAUAUCUGAGGUUAUUGAUAUUUCUCCAAGCAAUCUUGAUUCCAGUUUGUGCUUCAUCCAGCCCAGCAUUUCUCAUGAUGUACUCUGCAUGGAAGUUAAAUAAGCAGGGUGACAAUAUACAGCUUUGAUGUACUCCUUUUCCUAGAAAAGGAAUACAGAGGAGCCCAGUAGGCAACAAUCCAUGGGACUGCAAUAGAAUUGGACAGGACUUAGUAACUAAACAACAACUUAUCAGGAGAUACUGCAGCAGAUGAAACUAUUUCCAAAUUAGUAAAUCCUUGUUAAUCCUUGUAAGUAUCAACCAGGAGUCAAUGAGCUCCUUCUUUGUACAUAAAGGGGUUAAUUUACACCUGAAACUCAUUAUCCCCAGAGGUUGGUUUGGAUUGCAAAUACAACCAUGCUUAAGCAAGGUUGAUUUCAGGGUUGUUGGGGAAGCAGGCAGGUUGGGGAUGAAGAGUUAACAGCUAUAACCCAGAUCAGAUGAAGAAAGCGACACCUCACUGUUCAGCCAAGUGCUUCCUCCUUCUUCCUUGGGAUCUGCCUGCCUUCCAGCCUUCCUCCAAGGCUUCUCCUUGCCUCUCCUAUUGGCUGUCUCACUCUGAGGCAGGAAGAGAAAUCUGGUCGGUGGCUGACUUAGUCAUUUAUUCCCUAAUAAGUUAGCGAGAGCUCGUUUCACAGCACCGGAGGGCAUGAUGUAAUUACUUCUAACACAGAAUCUGAGAUCAGAAUAUACACAGCUAAUUAAAGUUUCCCACUUAAGUCCCAGGUAAGAAUUUCCUCUAGCAAAUGCUUUUUUUUUUUGAAAAAUAGACUUAAGAACGCCUGAAAUUGUUUAAAAUCCUGUAGCUUAUAAAAUAAAGCUCUAAUGAGCCUGUCUUUCUUUUUUUUUAACAGAUCUUUGGUUUGAGUGUGGAUAAAGCAGUUAUCACAAAAUCAUCUGAGAAAUAAAAGAAAUCUUGAUUUAACAUGAAAACCUUUCUAUUCUGUAAGUGAACUCGUUUGACCUAGAUCUAUCCUUUAAAGGACAAUUGGCUGUAAGAAAUUCUAAGGUUGUUCUCAGAAUUCUAAGACAAUUGGUAAAUAUUGAUAUAAAAGUCGGGUUCAUUAGCGACACCGAUUUGAUUUUCCUGAAAAUCGGCCAGACGGCAAGUUCUCACUUUUAUCCACCUUCAUUGUUACUCUCCAUAGCAACUGAAAACUUUUCUGGGCUGAAAUAAUCCUCUCUAGCUCCCAGCGCACAGUCAAGGAAUUUUAAAAACAGAGGACUUUGUAACCACGAAAUACCCUCCAAGAUUUAAAAGGCCACAGAGCUCCAGAUAAAUAAUCAUUUAUCUUUCUUCUGAAGGUAAGCACUGGGUUUAGAAAUGUUUGUAUCAUCCUCUGUCAUUUUUAAAUGCUAACAUAAGAAUCUUAAACUUGCUCUCUUUUUAAACCAUAAAAGUAAUCCUAGUAUUUUUGUUACUACCCAGCCAUUUUAGAUCAUCUCUGGGCCA